RNAcentral lists this ribosomal RNA (425 nucleotides) under uncultured bacterium. RNAcentral describes it as "bacterial SSU rRNA". It matches the Rfam family "Bacterial small subunit ribosomal RNA", at positions 8 to 482 of the family's 1533-position model. The record is from RNAcentral.
AGAGUUUGAUCCUGGCUCAGAGUGAACGCUAGCGGUGCGCCUAACACAUGCAAGUCGAGUGGGUUUAGACCCACGGCGAACGGCUGAGUAACACGUUGGAACCUGCCCCGAACUCAGGGAUAACCCGCCGAAAGGCGGGCUAAUACCGGAUGGUCCCGCAAGGGUAAAGCUUUUGCGGUUCGGGAGGGGCCUGCGGCCUAUCAGUUUGUUGGUAAGGUAACGGCUUACCAAGACUAUGACGGGUAACUGGUCUGAGAGGACGACCAGUCAGAAUGGGACUGAGACACGGCCCAUACUCCUACGGGAGGCAGCAGUGAGGAAUCUUCCGCAAUGGGCGAAAGCCUGACGGAGCGACGCCGCGUGAAGGAUGACGCCCUUUCCGGGCGUAAACUUCUGUUCUGAGGGACGAAAUUUGACGUACCUCA